GAUCAUGGCUCAGGAUAACGCUAGCUACAGGCUUAACACAUGCAAGUUGAGGGGCAGCAUGGUCUUAGCUUGCUAAGGCCGAUGGCGACCGGCGCACGGGUGAGUAACGCGUAUCCAACCUGCCUUACACGUCUUGGACAGCCUUCUGAAAGGGAGAUUAAUACAAGAUGUUAUCAUGAGUAAGCAUUUUCGCAUGAUUAAAGGUUUACCGGUGUAAGAUGGGGAUGCGUU
RNAcentral lists this ribosomal RNA (231 nucleotides) under uncultured bacterium. Its description in RNAcentral is "partial 16S ribosomal RNA". It matches the Rfam family "Bacterial small subunit ribosomal RNA", at positions 15 to 237 of the family's 1533-position model. The record is from RNAcentral.